ACCAUCUACAGACCCGUUGGCUUCUGGGGCAAAAUCGUUGGUUCGCUAUGUGUGAUAGCUGGUGUGCUGACAAUCGCUCUGCCCGUACCCGUUAUUGUGAGUAAU
Non-coding RNA from Musca domestica (house fly), 105 nucleotides. NCBI's taxonomy places the organism in Eukaryota, Metazoa, Arthropoda, Insecta, Diptera, Muscidae. The record is from Rfam.